This 103-nucleotide unclassified non-coding RNA is filed under the name Epilithonimonas pallida. RNAcentral describes it as "Flavo-1 RNA". The record is from RNAcentral. Lineage: Bacteria; Pseudomonadati; Bacteroidota; Flavobacteriia; Flavobacteriales; Weeksellaceae.
CCGCAGCCCGACUUGAGCGGAAAUCCUUUUUUGCUUGUGCAAAAGCCCUAUUGAGUGUGGAAAAUUUCUGCAAAAAAGAUUGGGAGCGGAAGGCGGAUUAAGC